Molecule: non-coding RNA, 71 nt
Filed under: Vicugna pacos (alpaca)
Lineage: Eukaryota; Metazoa; Chordata; Mammalia; Artiodactyla; Camelidae
Source: RNAcentral
GUGUGUUAAGAUAAAAGAGAAUGUUAGCAACCCCUAAGAAAAGGACACAAGUGAUCCUAGUAGCCUUUUUU